AAUGGGCGAAAGCCUGACGCAGCAACGCCGCGUGCGGGAUGAAGGCCUUCGGGUUGUAAACCGCUUUCAGCAGGGAAGAAGCGAAAGUGACGGUACCUGCAGAAGAAGCACCGGCUAACUACGUGCCAGCAGCCGCGGUAAUACGUAGGGUGCAAGCGUUGUCCGGAUUUAUUGGGCGUAAAGAGCUCGUAGGCGGUUAGUCGCGUCGGAUGUGAAAUCCCAGUGCUUAACACUGGGCCUGCAUUCGAUACGGGCUGACUAGAGUGUUGUAGGGGAGACUGGAACUCCUGGUGUAGCGGUGAAAUGCGCUGAUAUCAGGAAGAACACCGGUGGCGAAGGCGGGUCUCUGGGCAACUACUGACGCUGAGGAGCGAAAGCGUGGGGAGCAAACAGGAUU
This 397-nucleotide ribosomal RNA is filed under the name uncultured Actinomycetes bacterium. RNAcentral's name for it is "bacterial SSU rRNA". It matches the Rfam family "Bacterial small subunit ribosomal RNA", at positions 370 to 779 of the family's 1533-position model. The record is from RNAcentral. Lineage: Bacteria; Bacillati; Actinomycetota; Actinomycetes.